UGGGGAAUUUUGGACAAUGGGCGAAAGCCUGAUCCAGCAAUGCCGCGUGUGUGAAGAAGGCCUUCGGGUUGUAAAGCACUUUUGUCCGGAAAGAAAUCCUUGGCUCUAAUACAGUCGGGGGAUGACGGUACCGGAAGAAUAAGCACCGGCUAACUAUGUGCCAGCAGCCGCGGUAAUACGUAGGGUGCAAGCGUUAAUCGGAAUUACUGGGCGUAAAGCGUGCGCAGGCGGUUUGCUAAGACCGAUGUGAAAUCCCCGGGCUCAACCUGGGAACUGCAUUGGUGACUGGCAGGCUAGAGUAUGGCAGAGGGGGGUAGAAUUCCACGUGUAGCAGUGAAAUGCGUAGAGAUGUGGAGGAAUACCGAUGGCGAAGGCAGCCCCCUGGGCCAAUACUGACGCUCAUGCACGAAAGCGUGGGGAGCAAACAGGAUUAGAUACCCUGGUAGUCCACGCCCUAAACGAUGUCAACUAGUUGUUGGGGAUUCAUUUCCUUAGUAACGUAGCUAACGCGUGAAGUUGACCGCCUGGGGAGUACGGUCGCAAGAUUAAAACUCAAAUGAAUUGACGGGGUCAUAGCUGUUUCCU
RNAcentral lists this ribosomal RNA (585 nucleotides) under uncultured bacterium. RNAcentral describes it as "partial 16S ribosomal RNA". It matches the Rfam family "Bacterial small subunit ribosomal RNA", at positions 355 to 1375 of the family's 1533-position model. The record is from RNAcentral.